This 600-nucleotide ribosomal RNA is filed under the name uncultured bacterium. RNAcentral's name for it is "bacterial SSU rRNA". It matches the Rfam family "Bacterial small subunit ribosomal RNA", at positions 322 to 929 of the family's 1533-position model. The record is from RNAcentral.
CGCCGCCCCCGCCCGCCUACGGGACGCAUCAGUGGGGAAUUUUCCGCAAUGGGCGAAAGCCUGACGGAGCAAGACCGCGUGGGGGAAGAAGGCUCUUGGGUUGUAAACCCCUUUUCUCUGGGAAGAAAGUUGUGAAAGCAACCUGACGGUACCAGAGGAAUCAGCAUCGGCUAACUCCGUGCCAGCAGCCGCGGUAAGACGGAGGAUGCAAGCGUUAUCCGGAAUGAUUGGGCGUAAAGCGUCCGCAGGUGGCAGUUCAAGUCUGCUGUCAAAGACUGGGGCUUAACUUCGGAAAGGCAGUGGAAACUGAACAGCUAGAGUAUGGUAGGGGCAGAGGGAAUUCCUGGUGUAGCGGUGAAAUGCGUAGAGAUCAGGAAGAACAUCGGUGGCGAAGGCGCUCUGCUGGACCAUAACUGACACUCAGGGACGAAAGCUAGGGGAGCGAAUGGGAUUAGAUACCCUGGUAGUCCACGCCGUAAACGAUGAUUACUCGAUGUUGGCGAUAUUACAGUCAGCGUCCAAGCGAAAGCGUUAAGUCAUCCACCUGGGGAGUACGCCCGCAAGGGUGAAACUCAAAGGAAUUGACGGAAUCGGAUCCCG